CGGCUUUUCACACCUUUCUCUCCCCAUCGUGAGAGAGGACGUUUGGGGGAGAGAGCGGCCCGGCGGGGUCCCCUCCGAGCGGGUCCCCCUCGACCUUGCAGGGACCCGGGCGGCGCGGGGCUGGGAUUGUGCCGGAUUUCAAGGACACGGGAGAUGAUCGGGACUUUGGGAGCCAACAUCUGCCUGGCUGGUGACGUCAGCAGCCCCGUGUAAUCCUCUUGUACUGAAGGCAGAUGCCUUAUUUGUUUGGCUGGAGAGGCAUUAAUCCCUAAUUCUGGAGCAGCAAGCGAGGGGGAGAGACCGGACCGCUUCUUACCCCCCGACAGCCGCUCGCGGGGUUCUCCUCCUCUUUGCGCUCUGCGGCUCCGGUUGGGCGGAGGACGAGCCAGCCCUCGGCAGGCGCCCGCACGCAGGAGCCGCGCUGCCGAGGGCGGGCCUGAGCCUUCUGCCCGCCUCGCCCCCGGAUGCCCCGGCAAGCGGCGGAACAGCCCCCGGGAAGCCCACCUCGCCGCCGGAGCCCAGCGCAGCGUAGCCCUCUCCCUCCCGGGCCCAGGCCCCCGGCAGCAGUCGAGGUCAGCCCGCACGGUUCGGGGGGUCCGGCCGGGUCGGUGCUCCCGGCGUGCCGGCGGCACAGGGGCACAACGGUCCCGUCCUGAGCGCUGAGAGACGGCCGCAACCGUAACAAUAAGAAU
RNAcentral lists this long non-coding RNA (692 nucleotides) under Gallus gallus (chicken). Its description in RNAcentral is "long non-coding RNA NONGGAT004387". The record is from RNAcentral. Lineage: Eukaryota; Metazoa; Chordata; Aves; Galliformes; Phasianidae.